CCUACGGGUGGCAGCAGUGGGGAAUAUUGGACAAUGGGGGGAACCCUGAUCCAGCGACGCCGCGUGAGUGAAGAAGUAUUUCGGUAUGUAAAGCUCUAUCAGCAGGGAAGAAAAUGACGGUACUUGACUAAGAAGCCCCGGCUAACUACGUGCCAGCAGCCGCGGUAAUACGCCGGGGGCAAGCGUUAUCCGGAUUUACUGGGUGGAAAGGGAGCGUAGACGGUGCAGCAAGUCUGAUGUGAAAGGUCGGGGCUGAACCCGGGGACUGCAUUUGAAACUGUUGAACUGGAGUACAGGAGAGGUAAGCAGAAUUCCUAGUGUAGCGGUGAAAUGCGUAGAUAUGAGGAGGAAGACCAGUGGCGAAGGCGGCUUACUGGACUGUGACUGACGUUGAGGCUCGAAAGCGUGGGGAGCAAACAGGAUUAGAUACCCUAGUAGUC
Molecule: ribosomal RNA, 440 nt
Filed under: uncultured bacterium
Lineage: Bacteria
Description: partial 16S ribosomal RNA
Rfam family: Bacterial small subunit ribosomal RNA
Source: RNAcentral